This 88-nucleotide transfer RNA is filed under the name Puniceicoccales bacterium. RNAcentral describes it as "tRNA-Ser". It matches the Rfam family "tRNA". Rfam says of the family: Transfer RNA (tRNA) molecules are approximately 80 nucleotides in length. The record is from RNAcentral. Lineage: Bacteria; Pseudomonadati; Verrucomicrobiota; Opitutia; Puniceicoccales.
GGAGAGGUGACAGAGUGGACGAUUGUGCCUGCCUCGAAAUCAGGUGUACCGAAAGGUACCGGGGGUUCGAAUCCCCCCCUCUCCGCCA